CAGUAUAUUGGAUCCUGAGAGUAUGGAGUCUCUAAUUCUCACAUACUAGGAUAACCCGUAAUGUCUAGUGAAAUUAUAGCAGAUUGCUUGUAGGAGGUCAUUGUAUUGCAUCCUUAUGGAACCCCGUUUUUCCUACCAUACCUGUAUCUGCAUCUGCAUUCCCCGUUGCACUCUCAAGAACAGAUUGCUUGUAGCCUCAAAAUCAAGUUCUAGAGCUCCUUCCUCAUCUUCCCGAAGAUUGUAUAUGAUUAUUCGAGUACCUUGAUAUUUAAUUAAAUUGAACUGCUCUAAAAGCUCAGCUUCGCUUGCAUAAGGAGACCACUGCGCAUAUGUUUCUACAUUCUUAUUCCAAUGAACUGAAGAUGAUGAUGCUGGUACGAUGUUGCUCCAAUCUUUGCCAUUUUUCUCAUAAUCAAGAAUGGGAACUACAAGGUCCUCCUUGCUAGUGCUCGUCAAGAACGUGUAUGGAAGUAGUCCAAUGCUUUGAAUAGGGCAUGGUCCAUCUUUUCCAGGACAUCACGAAAACACAAUUACGUCAGCUCCAACCCUCAUUGUACGAGUCUUAAAACCAUUCCCAUACUGACCAUUUCCGUAUUUUCUGUCUCAUUCCGAAGCAGAACUUAGAUUGCUGGAAGUUUUCUACCACAAGAUUUAUAAGCUUAAUCCAGCUGUUAAAGAUGUGUUCGAUGUUGCCUAAGAUAACAUGCAUGCAUUUCAUUAUGCUCAAAAGGCUCCCAUGGUGAAAGUUAAGAACAUGAAACAAAAUUUGGAAUGGUUACGUCUGAUCCAAAGCGCCCCGAAGACCUUCGUUCAUGUAUACACAGGGAUGAUCCAACAGCACUGUAUAAGUGGCCAUGUCUUUCGCUUUUUACCUUCAACAGCACUCAUGCUCGCAGUGGAUGCAAAAUUGUUGUUCUGGCUACUCCCUCUGGAAAAUAUGACAGCAUUAGGAGGUGCUUUAUUGUGCCAAAAAAGCUGGUGUGACUCAUAUUCUUAAAACCGGGGAGCUCAGGUAGUGUUUGGUUUUGUAACCUUUAUCAAGCACUACAUCUAGAAUGGAUCCUUUUACCUUACUUAGACAUACAGUUUCUGAUGGAAACACUAAAUAUCAUUCUUUUCCAUGUAUGCAGGCCAUUUCAGCUUUAUAGAAAUUCAGGUUAGUGAAAAGUUUGGCAUGGUGUUCCUCUAUUAGAGCCUAAUCGGUACCGUCACAUUCUUAUUUGUUUUGUAGGUGGAGAAAAUUUUUGGACCUGGAAAUCAGGUAGUCACAGCUGCAAAAAUGAUAUCCAGAACAGUGAAGCGAAUGGUUUCAGUAGACAUGCCUGCUGGCUCAUCUGAAGUUCUGGUUAUUGCUGAUAAACAUGCCGGCCCGGUUCAUAUAGCAGCUGAUUUACUGUCUCAGAGAACUCGGAGCAAUUCAGCGAAUACUGGUUGGUAUUGUGUAGAAGCGCAGAGCUGCAUGAAUGACAUUAGUUAUCAGGUAUUGACAUAUGUUGCUACUUCCCUAUUUUGGUUGUUCUCCCUGUUUCAGAGUUGGGCUAGUUUCUCCGCAACCUUAUGCUUGAAUUGAAAGGAGUGAUUCUGUAAACCCUUGGUCUUGUAGUAAUUCCUUUACUAUCUGCUGCACUUCAAAAUUCGCCUGUGUGACAUGACAUAUGACCGAAGUAUGUAUACUGAUCCAACAUGCAUUGAGAUGGUGCACCAUCUUUGUCCCAA
Molecule: RNA transcript, 1716 nt
Organism: Papaver somniferum (opium poppy)
Lineage: Eukaryota; Viridiplantae; Streptophyta; Magnoliopsida; Ranunculales; Papaveraceae
Gene name: histidinol dehydrogenase-like
Exons: 6
Source: RefSeq, a predicted model, not a curated record